Non-coding RNA from Phthorimaea operculella (potato tuberworm), 69 nucleotides. Lineage: Eukaryota; Metazoa; Arthropoda; Insecta; Lepidoptera; Gelechiidae. The record is from the annotation of a GenBank genome assembly.
GCCGAUGGCGCAGUGGUUGUGCGACUGCCUGUGACGCAGCAGGUGCCGAGUUCUAUUCUCAGUGGGGCA